UACGUAGGGGGCAAGCGUUAUCCGGAUUUACUGGGUGUAAAGGGAGCGUAGACGGUUUAGCAAGUCUGAAGUGAAAGCCCGGGGCUCAACCCCGGUACUGCUUUGGAAACUGUUAGACUUGAGUGCAGGAGAGGUAAGUGGAAUUCCUAGUGUAGCGGUGAAAUGCGUAGAUAUUAGGAGGAACACCAGUGGCGAAGGCGGCUUACUGGACUGUAACUGACGUUGAGGCUCGAAAGCGUGGGGAGCAAACAGG
RNAcentral lists this ribosomal RNA (253 nucleotides) under Hungatella hathewayi. Its description in RNAcentral is "partial 16S ribosomal RNA". It matches the Rfam family "Bacterial small subunit ribosomal RNA", at positions 524 to 776 of the family's 1533-position model. The record is from RNAcentral. Lineage: Bacteria; Bacillati; Bacillota; Clostridia; Lachnospirales; Lachnospiraceae.